GAUGAACGCUGGCGGCGUGCCUAAUACAUGCAAGUCGAGCGAACAGACGAGGAGCUUGCUCCUCUGACGUUAGCGGCGGACGGGUGAGUAACACGUGGAUAACCUACCUAUAAGACUGGGAUAACUUCGGGAAACCGGAGCUAAUACCGGAUAAUAUAUUGAACCGCAUGGUUCAAUAGUGAAAGACGGUUUUGCUGUCACUUAUAGAUGGAUCCGCGCCGCAUUAGCUAGUUGGUAAGGUAACGGCUUACCAAGGCAACGAUGCGUAGCCGACCUGAGAGGGUGAUCGGCCACACUGGAACUGAGACACGGUCCAGAAUACUACGGGAGGCAGCAGUAGGGAAUCUUCCGCAAUGGGCGAAAGACUGACGGAGCAACGCCGCGUGAGUGAUGAAGGUCUUCGGAUCGUAAAACUCUGUUAUUAGGGAAGAACAAAUGUGUAAGUAACUAUGCACGUCUUGACGGUACCUAAUCAGAAAGCCACGGCUAACUACGUG
Molecule: ribosomal RNA, 497 nt
Filed under: uncultured bacterium
Lineage: Bacteria
Description: partial 16S ribosomal RNA
Rfam family: Bacterial small subunit ribosomal RNA
Source: RNAcentral